AAUGUGAGCCGCCAAUAAAAAAGAAGCAGCAGCGGCUGCAUUUCCAGCGACUGUGAUGUUGGCAUUGACCGCAGUGUAAAUAACUAGAAGGUUAUAAUACCAGAGUUAGUGAUCUGGGCUUAUAAACUAUCACACAAACACAGGAUAUACAGCAGAAUUAUGUGCCAAUGUCGGAUAAUUUUCUAACGUCAGCAGUUAUAGUAAAAGUAUUAUUAAAUCAAUCUCAAACAUCUGCUGAUUAGGAACCACAUCGAUCUCAAACCCUCGCCACUCAAGAACAACCAUAACAACAACAACAACAAACAAUUGCAUAUAAUAAACUCCUGCACCUGGGUUCAUCACAAGCUCCUGUGUUGCCGUGUCAUUACAACUGUCAGUGUGGAUCCUCAUUUUCACCUCACAAUAA
Myxocyprinus asiaticus (Chinese sucker) is the source of this 406-nucleotide long non-coding RNA. RefSeq lists it as uncharacterized. The transcript is spliced from 3 exons. The record is from RefSeq and is a predicted model, not a curated record. Lineage: Eukaryota; Metazoa; Chordata; Actinopteri; Cypriniformes; Catostomidae.